RNAcentral lists this long non-coding RNA (6629 nucleotides) under Sus scrofa (pig). Its description in RNAcentral is "lncRNA (ENSSSCG00040022474.1)". Lineage: Eukaryota; Metazoa; Chordata; Mammalia; Artiodactyla; Suidae. The record is from RNAcentral.
AGUGAGUCAGCCAUACAGGUAUACAUAUCCAUUCUUUUUCCCAUGUAUGUUACCGCAAACCACUGAGCAGAUUUCCCUGUGCUAUACAGGAGGUUCCUGUAGAUUACCUGUUCUACACAGUAAUGUGUAUAUGUUACUCCCAUCCUCUUAAUUCCUCCCUUCCUCCCAGCCCCUUUUGUGUAUCUGAACAAAUUUGGAUUUUGAGCUAUCCUUAUUUUUUCUGAAACAGACUUUAUUUUUGAAAAGCAAUAUAAUUUUAAAAUUAAGGGAGCUUUAUGGAGUUCCCAUCGUGGCGCAGAGGUGAUCGAAUCCGACUACAAACCAUGAAGUUGCGGUGUUCGAUCCCUGCCCUUGCUCAGUGGGUUAACAAUCCAGCAUUGCCGUGAGCUGUGGUGUAGGUUGCAGACGCGGCUUGGGUCCCGCGUUGCUGUAGCUCUGGCGUAGGUAGGGGGCUAGAGCUCCGAUUCGACCCCUAGCCUGGAAACCUCCAUACGCCGCAGGAGCGGCCCUAGAAAAGGCAAAAAAAAAAAAAAAAGGCAAAAAAUAAUAAUUAAGGGAGCUUUAGAGAUAAGCUGGCCAAAUCACUCCAUUUAAAAAUGUGAUUAAGGUCUAGAGAAAAAAGUGACUUGCCUAAACCCACAGAGCUAACUGAAGUUAAUCCAACACCACUAUUUAGAGUUUGAACUCCAGUGUAGUUAACGCCAAGCUAAUGCUGUUUUCAUGAAGCCACAAUAUUUUUAUUCCAUUAUAGUUUUAUGAAAGAAUGAGUCACUCAAUUUAUUUAUUCCUCCAAAUUUUUAUAGCACAAGUGUCACACAAGACAAGUUUUCUCCUUCAAAGAGCUUGCGGUUUAAUUAAAAAGAUAAGAUAUAUUUACUGAAACAACUAACAAAGUCAUGGCAUGUAAUUAUGUACAGAAAUGGUAACAUGUAGGUUAUAUCAUUACCAUUUUGCUGAUACUUGAAAUAGAAGAUGCAAGCACAUAUACAUACAUCAUGAACAAAAUUAGAGACUUUCUUAGAAAUUAACAGAUGGAAUAGGAAAAAUAUUUGACAGAAAAGGGAUUGAAUGACACCGCUGUAAAAGGAUAAAAGGAACAUUUUUGGAAGUUCCCUCCCUGGCUCAGCAGGUUAAGAACCCAACUAGUAUCCAUGAGGAUGCAGGUUCGAUCCCUGGCCUCACUCAGUGGGUUAAGGAUCUGGCAUUGUCGUGAGCUGUGGUGUAGGACACAGAUGCAGCUCAGAUCUGGUGUUGCUGCGGCUGUGGUGUAGGCUGGCAGCUAUAGCACCAAUUCAGCCCCUAGGCUGGGAACUGACAUAUGCCAUGUGUGGCCCAAAUAAAUAAGUAAAUAAAUAUUAAAAAUAAUAACAAGUGAACAUUUUCUGUCUAAUUUUCCACUGAAGCUCUAAGAUGGCAGCAAAUCACUCCCCACAACCCAAAGUAAGGUGCUAGACUGCACUGCCCAUAGAGGGCAUGAAGAAGGAAGACAUUUUUGGCAGCCUGUUUUAAACCUUUUCUCAAAUUUGAGAAUAUAUUAAUCGAAGGGACUAUGAGUUGAAAAGCAGAUGGAGUAUUUCUUUGGAAAUUUGUCAGGGUUGAUUUCCUCUUCUCUUAGCUUAAAAAGGGGGCUUCAGUAAGCUCUGCUGGAGAGUUCGUGAAACAUGUUCCCCAAAGCUUCUGUGACCCUAAGAUCUGGUACCUUAGAUAAGGACCAGGCAAAAAUCAAGAGACGAACUACAGUGGCCUCUGGAAGGAACUCUUAAGGAGAACUGGUGCUCCCAUGAGUGCAGUUAAAGUUGUCUAUCUCCUCCCCAGCACCUAGAUGUGGAACCUGUGCAGAAACACUAGCUUAUCCAGUUAAAAGAAAUUUUGCCCAAAAGAGAUUCUGCAAAAAUGAGACGUUCUCAGUAGAAAGAAACUGGAGAUGAGCCUUGUAUUACAGAAGCUGCAGUGCAGCCAUAAGCAGCCAGCAGAACCAGAGACAAGAUCUAAUCUGAGGGAGCUGUGGUCAGAGGGCCACAGACAGGAAUAUGCAUGAAACCCAUGCAAAUCACCACGGGAGAGAGCUUACACCUAUGCACAGCCCAAACGCACUCGUACCAGGUCUCAUAAAUGCCAAGCAGUGAGACCUUCCCUGCUUCUCACCUCUCCUUUCUCCUCUCCAGUCCAUUCCUCCAAUUCUGCUUUGCGAGCAGGUUAAGGGGUAAGAGGGCUCAUUGGGGAAAUUAAGAAAAGGAUAGGCCCUUCUCAUCCUACCAUGGGCUUCAGGUCUGAAGCAGAACAAACUGGUAGAGGAGACCUCUCAUUUGGGAAGAAUUUGCAGUGCUGGAAUUGCCACUGUAGCUCAGAGGAAACAAAACUGACUAGUAUCCAGAAGGAUGCGGGUUUGAUCCCUGGCCUUGCCCAGUGGGUCAUUCAUCUGGUGUUGUGAGCUGUGGUGCAGGUUGCAGACACAGCCCAGAUCCUGCAUUGCUGUGGCUGUGGGUAGGCUGGCAGCUGCAGCUCCGAUUUGCCCCCUGGCCUGGGAACCUCCAUAUGCUGUGGGUGCAGCCCUAAAAAGCAAAAAAGAACUUGCUGUGAUGAUUUAUACACUGAACUAUUUCCCGCAGUUACUGCAAUGAGACUUUCUAUCUACAAGUGACUGAGGCAUAUUUUUGGUGUAUGCGAAUAAUCAGAAAAAUCAUAUGGAUGAAAAUCCAAGAACUAGAAGAAAAAUGGCUGAUUGUAGAGAUUUAAAGAAACACUAAAGUGGGAGGAAAGAAUAAAUUUGCUUCCUGGCUUCUACCCAAAGUCCUGCUUAUUCGCCAUAAUGAUUAUAUGAUUACAAGUGAGAUAUGUGAAUGUUCAUAUAUAUUAAUCUUCUAUGUAAAAAUAAAGUGUUUUUCCUCUUUCCUGGGACACAAAUAUGCACACACAUACACACACAAGAUAACUAUAUAUUAGAGUACAAGAAAAAUUAAAAUAAAUGCACAAAAGCUAGAAUCACACAGAUCAUAUUCAAAGAAUUCAAAACAAUUCAGGAAGAAGGGAUAUACAUUUUUUUUAAAAUGAUGUUGUUCCCUGCAAAAAAAACCAUAAAAGGAAAUGAAAACAGUUCAAGAACUCUACUUGGAAAUUUUCAAACAUUCUUUAGAUAAAGUCUCACUCUGGAAAAUUUUUGUAACCAAUGGUCGUGCUGGUUCUAAAUAUGAAAUCUAUCUUUAUAUCUGCUGACAGAUUCGGGCCAAAUUUCAUGAGGGAUUGGGUAUGGAAGUUCACAAAACACUGCCCCUAAGACUUUUGCUUCCGGGGGCCUGAAACUUGGGUAGACGUUAACAGGGGGCUGUGAGAAUUGGCAUAAGAGGCAAACAGGCAUGACCCCUAGGGGAAGGGAGGGUGCCCUUGUUACAGAGCAGAGAACCAGAAGUGAGCUUUGUCUUUAGAAAUAAGAGGGAAUGGCUCGGUUUAAGUUUUAGCCCUUUCGCUGUCACUAAAGUCUGCAGCAAACACUGAUAGUCUAAGAGACAAGAGCUUGUCCUUGGAAGAAGGUCUAGUGGGACAGAGAGAUGUGUUGGUUAAUUGAUGUUUUGCCUGUGCUAAUACAUAAAUACAUUUAUACAGCCAGUCAGUUUUUCUCUUCUCAUUUGUAACAUACUUUCUCCUUCAUCAAACAUAUUCUACAAGAACUGCUGAGUCACUUUUUCCAUGAAAAGUAAAAACUGUUUCUCAUCAGGCACAUUUUGUAUUCUAACUUACCCCAAAAGCCACAGUUUACAGAAACAGAUAUGGUGUGAUCAGGAGCAAAAUUUGCAUUGAUAUUCACAGGUACACUGCUAAACAGAGUACUGUCCACAUACACAAAAAUCUAAACCUAGUUUUUCAGAUUUUCUCUGGGUUUCACGACUCUUUCUUACUGCUCUGAAAUGCAAAUACUUUGCAUGUAGUCCUUAAAAUUAAUAUUAUAAAAUUUUUUAUGUUUUCAACUAGGACAUAUAUAACAUCUAUUAACUUAGAAAUAUUUAAAAACACACUCGUAAGACAGAGAUGGUGGAUUACACAAGAGCAAGCAACCCUCAGUCUGGGAUUAAACUUUCAAUAAAAAUGCUAUUGGUGGGAGAGAGGUUUAUGGGAACUCUGUACUUUCUAUUCAGUUUAUCUGUGAACCUGAAACUGCUCUUCAAAUUUACGUCUGUUAAAAAUACAUUAAAAUGCUAUUUGGAAUUGGAAGUCAAAUCUCAUGUCAGAUAAUUAAGCGUAUUCUCUAAUUGGUGGACGACCAUUACUGCUCACUGAUUACCUGAGAGAAGCAGCACGAGUAGUAUAUUUAAAGGGUACAGCUCUCAGGUGAGUAAGGUAAAAAUAGGUUAUAUAUUUUGAUUCCAAAAGAUGCAUUAAAUCAGCAAGCAUAUAUAAAGGUCACAAAGAACAUUGAAAGACAUCAUCAUUCCUUCAGUAGAGCUAGUGCCUUCUUAAUAAAUGGUAUGAGCUGAAAUUUAUAGAGUACUUACUCUGAGAUAAGUAGAAUUAUUAUGCCUAUUUUCCCAUGGAGGGAGGGAAGGCUUAGAAAAAGGGUAAGUGAGUGAACCAUCUAAGACCACACAAGGAGGUAAUCUUACAGCCUGGACUCAAAUCCACCAUCUGUCUUCAAGGACUGAAAUCUUAAGGCCUGCAGAUGUACUCUAUCCUUGACAAAUCACACAUGUUGAAAAAGAUAUCUGUGACGAGUUUUAAAUGAUAAUUGGCCAUGAUAAUUGGCUCAUCUUACUACUGAUAACUUUUAUUAAUUAAAAAAUGUUGUUAAUAGAUGCAAACUAUCGCCUCUGGAAUGGAUAAGCAAUAAGAUCCUGCUGUAUAGCAGUGGGAACUAUACCUAGUCACUUAUGAUGGAGCAUGAUGGAGGAGAAUGUGAAAAAAAGAAUGUAUCUAUAAUUGGUGACUGGGUAUCUUUGCUGUACUGUAGAAAAUUGACAGAACACUGCUAUAAAAACCAGCUAUAAUGGAAAAAAUAAAAAUCAUUUAAAAAUGUUAUUGUGCUAGCUCAUUCCAAUGAAUUCUCUAUAAAUAAUUUCAAAGUCAAUAAUAUAACUUCAAACACAACAAAUAUUUACAGACAGAAUUUUCCAACAGCAAUACCUAUGGCUUUUUUUUUUUUUGCUUUUAAAGUCUCUUUGGACAGUAAAUGAAGAUGAGACAGCGCUUCUUGCCUCCUUGCCAGGUAAUAUAUAAACUUAAUCAAAAGGAGGCAGCCAGAGUCCAGCAAAAUGGUUAUGGGGGGGGGGGUGGUUCGUGUGUGUGUGUGUGUGCACGCACGUGUGUGCACAUGCUUUUUAGGGCCACACCCUCAGCAUAUGGAGGUUCCCAGGUUAGGGGUCUAAUAGGAGCUACAGCUGACAGCCUACACCACAGCCGCAGCAACAUCAGAUCCCAGCCACGUCUGCGACCUACAUACACCACAGCUCACGGCAAUGCUGGAUCCUUAACCCACUGAGCAAGGCCAGGAAUAGAACCCUCAACUUCAUCGGUGCUAGUCAGAUGCCUUUCCACUGAGCCAUGAUGGGAACUCUAAAAAAAUGUCUAUUAAAGUAUAUUCAGUUCCACUGAGUUUAAUCAUUGAAGAGGAUUUUAUUUUUACUUCAGAACAUAUAGAACCUUGAUCUAAGGAAACCUGUACUCUGCAAAUCAAGAUUCUUUUUAAACUACUUCUUCAGCAAAUCGGUAAAAUGAUAUGGGAGAGAAUAAAGAAAAAGUAUAUUUAUGCUGCUGAAAUUGUAAAACAGGAUGGGUAGCUAAGACAGGGCUGCAAUAUCAGCUGCAUCUGCACAUAUUCCAAGAAGUGGACAGUCAAAUCUAUUACACAGAUAAGCCAAGCUAAAAUACUACUUUCCCUUCAAUUAUAUGGAUAUUUCAAACAAUAUACCUUCCUUGGCUUACAAAUUUCAGCGAUUGCUGACCUCUACCUCUUUAGAGCCCUUUUACAGUCUUCUUUUUGAAGAAAUUUAAAUGAGGAAAAAAUUCAAAAUUCAUAGAAAAAAAUAUAAUGGUAUAUAGAAUAUCCACUAUACCAGCCUGUGUCGGUGACUGCUUGCAGUUCAACACCUAAUCUUGCAAUGAUACAAGUUUCUGCAACAGUAGCUUCAAUAGAAGCUGAUUCCACAUAAGAGCUGGAAAGAGUGAACAUUGCACAUGGUUGCAGAGAGCAGGACCUGGAUUUAGAAGGACUAUGUAAGCUUCAACAGUGCUUGGCCAGGCCUCAGGAAAUCUUCAUGCACUGAAAGGAAGGCAGACCAAGAGUGAAAAUGCUGAGUGCAAUGAAAAAGAUCUAAUAAUACAGUGGACACGAAAAAGAAAAAACUUUCUGGAGUUCCGGUUGUGGUGCAGCAAAAACAAAUCCAACUAGCAUCCAUGCAGAUGAAGGAUCAAUCCCUGGCCUUGCUCAGUAGGUCAUCCAUGGGGAUGAGGGAUCAAUCCCUGGCCUUGCCAUGAACUGUGGUGCAGGUCCAAGACAUGGCUCCGAUCCUGCAUUGCUGUGGCUGUGGCAUAGGCUGGCAGCUGCAGCUUUGAUUCGACCCCUAACCUGGAAACUUCCUUAUACCCAUAUGCCGCGGGUGUGGCACCACCACCCCCCCAAAAAAAAGAAAGAAAGAAAAAAA